This 1572-nucleotide ribosomal RNA is filed under the name Salmonella enterica subsp. enterica serovar 4,12:d:-. Its description in RNAcentral is "partial 23S ribosomal RNA". It matches the Rfam family "Bacterial large subunit ribosomal RNA", at positions 211 to 1637 of the family's 2925-position model. The record is from RNAcentral. Lineage: Bacteria; Pseudomonadati; Pseudomonadota; Gammaproteobacteria; Enterobacterales; Enterobacteriaceae.
CCGAGGAAAAGAAAUCAACCGAGAUUCCCCCAGUAGCGGCGAGCGAACGGGGAGGAGCCCAGAGCCUGAAUCAGCAUGUGUGUUAGUGGAAGCGUCUGGAAAGGCGCGCGAUACAGGGUGACAGCCCCGUACACAAAAGCGCAUGUGCUGUGAGCUCGAUGAGUAGGGCGGGACACGUGGUAUCCUGUCUGAAUAUGGGGGGACCAUCCUCCAAGGCUAAAUACUCCUGACUGACCGAUAGUGAACCAGUACCGUGAGGGAAAGGCGAAAAGAACCCCGGCGAGGGGAGUGAAAAAGAACCUGAAACCGUGUACGUACAAGCAGUGGGAGCCCCACCACUAAGCCAGUGGUGAACUCCACAUACGCAUCCUUUGCUGAGGAUACGGUUAACGGAGCGAAAGCGACGUUCAACCUCAAAAGAAGCAGAGGGGGCUUAGUGGUGGGGUGACUGCGUACCUUUUGUAUAAUGGGUCAGCGACUUAUAUUCUGUAGCAAGGUUAACCGAAUAGGGGAGCCGGAGGGAAACCGAGUCUUAAUUGGGCGUUAAGUUGCAGGGUAUAGACCCGAAACCCGGUGAUCUAGCCAUGGGCAGGUUGAAGGUUGGGUAACACUAACUGGAGGACCGAACCGACUAAUGUUGAAAAAUUAGCGGAUGACCUGUGGCUGGGGGUGAAAGGCCAAUCAAACCGGGAGAUAGCUGGUUCUCCCCGAAAGCUAUUUAGGUAGCGCCUCGUGAACUCAUCUCCGGGGGUAGAGCACUGUUUCGGCUAGGGGGCCAUCCCGGCUUACCAACCCGAUGCAAACUGCGAAUACCGGAGAAUGUUAUCACGGGAGACACACGGCGGGUGCUAACGUCCGUCGUGAAGAGGGAAACAACCCAGACCGCCAGCUAAGGUCCCAAAGUCAUGGUUAAGUGGGAAACGAUGUGGGAAGGCCCAGACAGCCAGGAUGUUGGCUUAGAAGCAGCCAUCAUUUAAAGAAAGCGUAAUAGCUCACUGGUCGAGUCGGCCUGCGCGGAAGAUGUAACGGGGCUAAACCAUGCACCGAAGCUGCGGCAGCGAACGUAUCACCCAAGACAACUUUACGGAGUUGACGAUUGACGGAGCGAAGCGACGUCAAAGCGUUCAUUAAAGUCGAGUUGGCUUAGGGAUACGUUCGUUGGGUAGGGGAGCGUUCUGUAAGCCUGCGAAGGUGGCCUGUGAGGGUUGCUGGAGGUAUCAGAAGUGCGAAUGCUGACAUAAGUAACGAUAAAGCGGGUGAAAAGCCCGCUCGCCGGAAGACCAAGGGUUCCUGUCCAACGUUAAUCGGGGCAGGGUGAGUCGACCCCUAAGGCGAGGCCGAAAGGCGUAGUCGAUGGGAAACGGGUUAAUAUUCCCGUACUUGGUGUUACUGCGAAGGGGGGACGGAGAAGGCUAUGUUGGCCGGGCGACGGUUGUCCCGGUUUAAGCGUGUAGGUGUGUGUUCCAGGUAAAUCCGGUUCACUUUAACACUGAGGCGUGACGACGAGGCACUACGGUGCUGAAGCAACAAAUGCCCUGCUUCCAGGAAAAGCCUCUAAGCAUCAGGUAACAC